This 216-nucleotide long non-coding RNA is filed under the name Elaeis guineensis (African oil palm). RNAcentral describes it as "long non-coding RNA (EGUI_LNC025408)". Lineage: Eukaryota; Viridiplantae; Streptophyta; Magnoliopsida; Arecales; Arecaceae. The record is from RNAcentral.
GCCGCUCAUCAUCAUUUCUUUUUCCAUCAUUCGAAUUGAUCACCGCAUGGUUUGAAGGUACCACAAACAUAAACGUGUCAAAGCCCACUCAUGUCAUGUCAUGGACCAUGCCAGACCCACUAAAUUCUAGAUCCACGUGGAUCAGAUGAACGGUCCACGGUAUGACAAGUUCAGCGUACGAAGAAUUUGUUUUUGAUAAAUCAAAUCAAAUAAACU